This 253-nucleotide ribosomal RNA is filed under the name uncultured bacterium. RNAcentral's name for it is "partial 16S ribosomal RNA". It matches the Rfam family "Bacterial small subunit ribosomal RNA", at positions 524 to 776 of the family's 1533-position model. The record is from RNAcentral.
UACAGAGGCCUCGAGCGUUAGGCGGAAUCACUGGGCUUAAAGCGUGUGUAGGUGGAUGCCUAAGUACCUUGUGAAAUCCCACGGCUUAACCGUGGAACUGCUGGGUAUACUGGGUAUCUUGAGCCACUCAGGGGCUACCGGAACAAACGGUGGAGCGGUGAAAUGCGUAGAUAUCGUUUGGAACGCCAAUGGUGAAAACAGGUAGCUGGGGGUGUGCUGACACUGAGACACGAAAGCCAGGGGAGCAAACGGG